AUGCGGAAUGAUUGGGCGUAAAGCGUCUGUAGGUGGCUUUGUAAGUCCGCCGUGAAAUCCCAGGGCUCAACCCUGGACAGGCGGUGGAAACUACCAAGCUGGAGUACGGUAGGGGCAGAGGGAAUUUCCGGUGGAGCGGUGAAAUGCGCAGAUAUCAGGAAGAACACCCGUGGCGAAGGCGGUUCUCUGGGACGGUACUGACGCUGAGACGCGAAAGCGUGGGGAGCGAACAGG
RNAcentral lists this ribosomal RNA (234 nucleotides) under uncultured bacterium. RNAcentral describes it as "partial 16S ribosomal RNA". It matches the Rfam family "Bacterial small subunit ribosomal RNA", at positions 543 to 776 of the family's 1533-position model. The record is from RNAcentral.